This 515-nucleotide ribosomal RNA is filed under the name uncultured fungus. RNAcentral's name for it is "SSU rRNA". It matches the Rfam family "Eukaryotic small subunit ribosomal RNA", at positions 209 to 724 of the family's 1831-position model. The record is from RNAcentral. Lineage: Eukaryota; Fungi.
AUUAGAUAAAAAACCAAUGCCCUCCGGGACUCUUUGGUGAUUCAUGAUAACUUAACGGAUCGCAUGGCCUUGCGCCGGCGACGGUUCAUUCAAAUUUCUGCCCUAUCAACUUUCGAUGGUAAGGUAUUGGCUUACCAUGGUUUCAACGGGUAACGGGGAAUUAGGGUUCGAUUCCGGAGAGGGAGCCUGAGAAACGGCUACCACAUCCAAGGAAGGCAGCAGGCGCGCAAAUUACCCCAUCCCGACACGGGGAGGUAGUGACAAUAAAUACUGAUACAGGGCUCUUUUGGGUCUUGUAAUCGGAAUGAGUACAAUUUAAACCCCUUAACGAGGAACAAUUGGAGGGCAAGUCUGGUGCCAGCAGCCGCGGUAAUUCCAGCUCCAAUAGCGUAUAUUAAAGUUGUUGCAGUUAAAAAGCUCGUAGUUGAAACUUGGGCCUGGCUGGCCGGUCCGCUCACCGCGUGUACUGGUCCGGCCGGGCCUUUCCUUCUGGAGAGCCCAUGCCCUUCACUGGG